GGCUCAUCUAACUUAUGUGUUUGGAUGUAUGGUUAUUUUUCACAAGGAUGUAACUAUUAUAUGCUGUGACACUAAUUGAAAUCUCGCUUCAAACUCCUCUCUUUACCAAAAACAAAAAGGGUAAACAGGCCAGAAAUGAGAAAAGCUUAUGAGAAUGACCUAAACAAAAACCAUGCACUUUAUCUUUUCUUUCAUCUCU
This 199-nucleotide long non-coding RNA is filed under the name Elaeis guineensis (African oil palm). RNAcentral describes it as "long non-coding RNA (EGUI_LNC020506)". The record is from RNAcentral. Lineage: Eukaryota; Viridiplantae; Streptophyta; Magnoliopsida; Arecales; Arecaceae.